Molecule: long non-coding RNA, 639 nt
Filed under: Microcebus murinus (gray mouse lemur)
Lineage: Eukaryota; Metazoa; Chordata; Mammalia; Primates; Cheirogaleidae
Description: lncRNA (ENSMICG00000048252.1)
Source: RNAcentral
GUGUCGUUCCUGCUGCCAUCACAGUACAACUUAAGGCCUGACUGGACUGGUGGUCAAGGGGCUGAGCCCCACGGCUGGGCCACUGCAUGGCCUUGCCAAGGAGCUGUCUGACAAGAUCCAGAUCCAGGUAUUUGACAAGCUGCUACUGCUCAACCCCGGAAUAGAAGCAGAACAAAUCUUAAUGGCACCCAACUCAUUUAUGAAGCUCCAGACAAACAGGGAUGGUGCGGCCUCUCUGAGCUACCGUGUCCUGGAUGGGCCCGAGCAGGUUCCUGUCGUGCACAUUGAUGAGAAGGGCUUCCUGGUGUCAGGGUCUGUGAUGGGGACGCCCACAAUUGAAGUGACUGCACAAGAGCCUUUUGGGACCAACCAAACCAUCAUUGUUGGCGUAAAGGUGAGUGCUCCCCAGCCCAGAGGGAAGUCAUCAAGACCUUGCACCCAGAGUCCCUUCUGAGCUGCCAGCUGCAGUUCCAGCAGGCCGUCUCCGAUUUCCCAGCACGUGAUGUUCUCACCGUGGAGCCAGGCUUCGAUGCUGCUCUGGGUAAGUUUGCCAGGAUUGGAAAGUGAAAUGGACUGACAGAGAGUCUUUGACCUGUGGACAUCUCGGGUCUGCUGCGCGUUCAGCUCACAGCAGGCACC